AACGAACGCUGGCGGCAUGCCUAACACAUGCAAGUCGAACGAGACCUUCGGGUCUAGUGGCGCACGGGUGCGUAACGCGUGGGAACCUGCCCUUAGGUUCGGAAUAACUCCCCGAAAGGGGUGCUAAUACCGGAUAAUGUCUUCGGACCAAAGAUUUAUCGCCUUUGGAUGGGCCCGCGUUGGAUUAGCUAGUUGGUAGGGUAAAAGCCUACCAAGGCGACGAUCCAUAGCUGGUCUGAGAGGAUGAUCAGCCACACUGGGACUGAGACACGGCCCAGACUCCUACGGGAGGGAGCAGUGGGGAAUAUUGGAGGAGGGGCGAAAGCCUGAUCCAGCAAUGCCGGGUGAGUGAUGAAGGCCUUAGGGUUGUAAAGCUCUUUUACCCGGGAUGAUAAUGACAGUACCGGGAGAAUAAGCUCCGGCUAACUACGUG
Molecule: ribosomal RNA, 433 nt
Filed under: uncultured bacterium
Lineage: Bacteria
Description: partial 16S ribosomal RNA
Rfam family: Bacterial small subunit ribosomal RNA
Source: RNAcentral